ACUCCUACGGGAGGCAGCAGUGGGGAAUAUUGCACAAUGGGGGAAACCCUGAUGCAGCCAUGCCGCGUGUGUGAAGAAGGCCUUCGGGUUGUAAAGCACUUUCAGUAGGGAGGAAGGUAGUGUAGUUAACACCUGCAUUAUUUGACGUUACCUACAGAAGAAGCACCGGCUAACUCCGUGCCAGCAGCCGCGGUAAUACGGAGGGUGCGAGCGUUAAUCGGAAUUACUGGGCGUAAAGCGCAUGCAGGCGGCCUGUUAAGUCAGAUGUGAAAGCCCGGGGGCUUAAACCUCGGAAAUUGCAUUUGAAAACUGGCAGGCUAGAGUCUUGUAGAGGGGGGUAGAAUUUCAGGUGUAGCGGUGAAAUGCGUAGAGAUCUGAAGGAAUACCAGUGGCGAAGGCGGCCCCCUGGACAAAAGACUGACGCUCAGAUGCGAAAAGCGU
RNAcentral lists this ribosomal RNA (441 nucleotides) under uncultured bacterium. Its description in RNAcentral is "bacterial SSU rRNA". It matches the Rfam family "Bacterial small subunit ribosomal RNA", at positions 335 to 762 of the family's 1533-position model. The record is from RNAcentral.